GUCCACGCCGUAAACGAUGUCUACUAGCCGUUGGAGUCCUUGAGGCUUUAGUGGCGCAGCUAACGCACUAAGUAGACCGCCUGGGGAGUACGGUCGCAAGAUUAAAACUCAAAUGAAUUGACGGGGGCCCGCACAAGCGGUGGAGCAUGUGGUUUAAUUCGACGCAACGCGAAGAACCUUACCAGGUCUUGACAUCUAGAGAACUUGCCAGAGAUGGCUUGGUGCCUUCGGGAACUCUAAGACAGGUGCUGCAUGGCUGUCGU
Molecule: ribosomal RNA, 263 nt
Filed under: uncultured bacterium
Lineage: Bacteria
Description: partial 16S ribosomal RNA
Rfam family: Bacterial small subunit ribosomal RNA
Source: RNAcentral